AUUUGAUGAUGAGGGCAACUUGCACAUAACCUCUUGAGUAUCUCCCAAUAUUCAUAUAAACCUUCUGCAUGUAAUUGUCUGAUUCUAGAAAUAUAUUUUCUGAUUGU
Molecule: non-coding RNA, 107 nt
Organism: Lupinus angustifolius (narrow-leaved blue lupine)
Lineage: Eukaryota; Viridiplantae; Streptophyta; Magnoliopsida; Fabales; Fabaceae
Source: Rfam